AACGUAAGAUGACUGUAGUGAAAGCUUACAUCUCUUCGGAGCAUUUUACGAGGUGCUGCAUGGUUGUCGUCAGCUCGUGCCGUGAGGUGUCGGGUUAAGGUCCCAUAACGAGCGCAACCCCUACCUUUAGUUGCCAUCAGGUUAAGCUGGGGACUCUAAAGGAACUGCCUACGCAAGUAGUGAGGAAGCGGGGAUGACGUCAAAUCAGCACGGCCCUUACGUCCAGGGCUACACACGUGCUACAAUGGCCGAUACAGAGGGCAGCUACCUGGUGACAGGAUGCAAAUCUCCAAAGUCGGUCUCAGUUCGGAUCGGAGUCUGCAACCCGACUCCGUGAAGUUGGAUUCGCUAGUAAUCGCGCAUCAGCCAUGGCGCGGUGAAUACGUUCCCGGGCCUU
RNAcentral lists this ribosomal RNA (397 nucleotides) under uncultured Sphingobacteriales bacterium. Its description in RNAcentral is "bacterial SSU rRNA". It matches the Rfam family "Bacterial small subunit ribosomal RNA", at positions 984 to 1382 of the family's 1533-position model. The record is from RNAcentral. Lineage: Bacteria; Pseudomonadati; Bacteroidota; Sphingobacteriia; Sphingobacteriales.